Molecule: ribosomal RNA, 2931 nt
Filed under: Enterobacter cloacae
Lineage: Bacteria; Pseudomonadati; Pseudomonadota; Gammaproteobacteria; Enterobacterales; Enterobacteriaceae
Also listed under: 2 other names
Description: bacterial LSU rRNA
Rfam family: Bacterial large subunit ribosomal RNA
Source: RNAcentral
GGGUUGUGAGGUUAAGCGACUAAGCGUACACGGUGGAUGCCCUGGCAGUCAGAGGCGAUGAAGGACGUGCUAAUCUGCGAAAAGCGCCGGCGAGGUGAUAUGAACCUUUGACCCGGCGAUGUCCGAAUGGGGAAACCCAGUGCAAUCCGUUGCACUAUCGUUAACUGAAUACAUAGGUUAACGAGGCGAACCGGGGGAACUGAAACAUCUAAGUACCCCGAGGAAAAGAAAUCAACCGAGAUUCCCCCAGUAGCGGCGAGCGAACGGGGAGCAGCCCGGAGUCUGAAUCAGCUUGUGUGUUAGUGGAACGGUCUGGAAAGUCCGACGGUACAGGGUGAUAGUCCCGUACACGAAAGCACACAUGCUGUGAACUCGAAGAGUAGGGCGGGACACGUGGUAUCCUGUCUGAAUAUGGGGGGACCAUCCUCCAAGGCUAAAUACUCCUGACUGACCGAUAGUGAACCAGUACCGUGAGGGAAAGGCGAAAAGAACCCCGGCGAGGGGAGUGAAAAAGAACCUGAAACCGUGUACGUACAAGCAGUGGGAGCCUCUUUAUGGGGUGACUGCGUACCUUUUGUAUAAUGGGUCAGCGACUUAUAUUCUGUAGCAAGGUUAACCGUAUAGGGGAGCCGAAGGGAAACCGAGUCUUAACUGGGCGUUAAGUUGCAGGGUAUAGACCCGAAACCCGGUGAUCUAGCCAUGGGCAGGUUGAAGGUUGGGUAACACUAACUGGAGGACCGAACCGACUAAUGUUGAAAAAUUAGCGGAUGACCUGUGGCUGGGGGUGAAAGGCCAAUCAAACCGGGAGAUAGCUGGUUCUCCCCGAAAGCUAUUUAGGUAGCGCCUCGUGAAUUCAUCUUCGGGGGUAGAGCACUGUUUCGGCUAGGGGGCCAUCCCGGCUUACCAACCCGAUGCAAACUACGAAUACCGAAGAAUGUUAUCACGGGAGACACACGGCGGGUGCUAACGUCCGUCGUGAAGAGGGAAACAACCCAGACCGCCAGCUAAGGUCCCAAAGUCAUGGUUAAGUGGGAAACGAUGUGGGAAGGCACAGACAGCCAGGAUGUUGGCUUAGAAGCAGCCAUCAUUUAAAGAAAGCGUAAUAGCUCACUGGUCGAGUCGGCCUGCGCGGAAGAUGUAACGGGGCUAAACCAUGCACCGAAGCUGCGGCAGCGACACUAUGUGUUGUUGGGUAGGGGAGCGUUCUGUAAGCCGUUGAAGGUGUGCUGUGAGGCAUGCUGGAGGUAUCAGAAGUGCGAAUGCUGACAUAAGUAACGAUAAAGCGGGUGAAAAGCCCGCUCGCCGGAAGACCAAGGGUUCCUGUCCAACGUUAAUCGGGGCAGGGUGAGUCGACCCCUAAGGCGAGGCCGAAAGGCGUAGUCGAUGGGAAACAGGUUAAUAUUCCUGUACUUGGUGUUACUGCGAAGGGGGGACGGAGAAGGCUAUGUCAGCCGGGCGACGGUUGUCCCGGUUUAAGCAUGUAGGCGGAGGUUCCAGGUAAAUCCGGUACCUUAUUAACGCUGAGGUGUGAUGACGAGGCACUACGGUGCUGAAGUGAUAAAUGCCCUGCUUCCAGGAAAAGCCUCUAAGCAUCAGGUAACACGAAAUCGUACCCCAAACCGACACAGGUGGUCAGGUAGAGAAUACCAAGGCGCUUGAGAGAACUCGGGUGAAGGAACUAGGCAAAAUGGUGCCGUAACUUCGGGAGAAGGCACGCUGAUAUGUAGGUGAAGCCCCUGCGGGCGGAGCUGAAAUCAGUCGAAGAUACCAGCUGGCUGCAACUGUUUAUUAAAAACACAGCACUGUGCAAACACGAAAGUGGACGUAUACGGUGUGACGCCUGCCCGGUGCCGGAAGGUUAAUUGAUGGGGUUAGCGGCAACGCGAAGCUCUUGAUCGAAGCCCCGGUAAACGGCGGCCGUAACUAUAACGGUCCUAAGGUAGCGAAAUUCCUUGUCGGGUAAGUUCCGACCUGCACGAAUGGCGUAAUGAUGGCCAGGCUGUCUCCACCCGAGACUCAGUGAAAUUGAACUCGCUGUGAAGAUGCAGUGUACCCGCGGCAAGACGGAAAGACCCCGUGAACCUUUACUAUAGCUUGACACUGAACACUGGUCCUUGAUGUGUAGGAUAGGUGGGAGGCUUUGAAGCGUGGACGCCAGUCUGCGUGGAGCCAACCUUGAAAUACCACCCUUUAAUGGCUGGUGUUCUAACGUAGACCCGUAAUCCGGGUUGCGGACAGUGUCUGGUGGGUAGUUUGACUGGGGCGGUCUCCUCCCAAAGAGUAACGGAGGAGCACGAAGGUUGGCUAAUCCUGGUCGGACAUCAGGAGGUUAGUGCAAUGGCAUAAGCCAGCUUGACUGCGAGCGUGACGGCGCGAGCAGGUGCGAAAGCAGGUCAUAGUGAUCCGGUGGUUCUGAAUGGAAGGGCCAUCGCUCAACGGAUAAAAGGUACUCCGGGGAUAACAGGCUGAUACCGCCCAAGAGUUCAUAUCGACGGCGGUGUUUGGCACCUCGAUGUCGGCUCAUCACAUCCUGGGGCUGAAGUAGGUCCCAAGGGUAUGGCUGUUCGCCAUUUAAAGUGGUACGCGAGCUGGGUUUAGAACGUCGUGAGACAGUUCGGUCCCUAUCUGCCGUGGGCGCUGGAGAAUUGAGGGGGGCUGCUCCUAGUACGAGAGGACCGGAGUGGACGCAUCACUGGUGUUCGGGUUGUCAUGCCAAUGGCACUGCCCGGUAGCUAAAUGCGGAAAAGAUAAGUGCUGAAAGCAUCUAAGCACGAAACUUGCCCCGAGAUGAGUUCUCCCUGAGACCUUGAGUCUCCUGAAGGAACGUUGAAGACUACGACGUUGAUAGGUCGGGUGUGUAAGCGCAGCGAUGCGUUGAGCUAACCGAUACUAAUGAACCGUGAGGCUUAACCUUACAACGCCGAAGCUGUU